GAUGAACGCUGGCGGCGUGCCUAAUACAUGCAAGUCGAGCGAACAGACGAGAGUGCUUGCACUCUCUGACGUUAGCGGCGGACGGGCGAGUAACACGUGGGGAACCUACCUAUAAGACUGGGAUAACUUCGGGAAACCGGAGCUAAUACCGGAUAAUAUUUAGCUUCGCAUGAAGCAAUAGUGAAAGACGGUUCUGGUGUCUAUUAUAGAUGGACCCGCGGUGUAUUAGCUAGUUGGUGAGGUAACGGCUGACCAAGGCAACGAUACAUAGCCGACCUGAGAGGGUGAUCGGCCACACUGGGACUGAGACACGGCCCAGACUCCUACGGGAGGCAGCAGUAGGGAAUCUUCCGCGAUGGACGAAAGUCUGACGGAGCAAUGCCGCGUGAGUGAAGAAGGUUUUCGGAUCUUAGAACUCUGUUGUACGGGAAGAACAAGUGCGUUAGUAACUGAACGUACCUUGACGGUACCUUACCAGAAAGCCACGGCUAACUACGUG
This 499-nucleotide ribosomal RNA is filed under the name uncultured bacterium. RNAcentral's name for it is "partial 16S ribosomal RNA". It matches the Rfam family "Bacterial small subunit ribosomal RNA", at positions 28 to 507 of the family's 1533-position model. The record is from RNAcentral.